Molecule: ribosomal RNA, 253 nt
Filed under: uncultured bacterium
Lineage: Bacteria
Description: partial 16S ribosomal RNA
Rfam family: Bacterial small subunit ribosomal RNA
Source: RNAcentral
UACGUAGGCAGCGAGCGUUGUUCGGCAUUAUUGGGCGUAAAGAGUGUGUAGGCGGUGCUCUAAGUCUGUCGUGAAAUCUCCCGGCUUAACUGGGAGGGUGCGGCGGAAACUGGAAUGCUAGAGGGUGGGAGAGGAAAGCGGAAUUCCUGGUGUAGCGGUGAAAUGCGUAGAUAUCAGGAGGAACACCGGCGGUGUAGGCAGCGUUCUGGACCACUUCUGACGCUGAGACGCGAAAGCGUGGGUAGCAAACAGG